AGAAAAACCGCCGUCCCACUGAAAAGACAGAGGAUGAACCCAAAGAACAAAAAAAGUCUCCAAAAACAGUUCCACGUGAAGACUUUGAGAAAAUCGAGUCCCUGAAUGUGAUUGUUAAGGAUAUAUGGCAUCUUCUUUCCAAAUACGUGGAAAAGAUGAUUCGAGAGAGGAUUCAGCCUGACAUACGCGCCAAAAGCAAUUAUCUUGCCUCGUUCCGUUUCAUCAAUAUCGAUUUUGGCACGAAGGUAAUGAUCUCUUUCUGUACUUGGGUUAUUCCUCUUCUUGUAAAUAGAUUUCUUGUAACACCCCAAUCUUUAUGCUCAGCCCCCACAGGUAAAGUCUUGGAAAACUCAUGCGGAUCCAGAAAAAAAGCAAAUAAUGUUGGAUCUCGAUAUCAGUUAUAAUGCCGACAUAAAGGUGGAUGCUGGUUUUACGGAAAA
This is a long non-coding RNA of Xenopus laevis (African clawed frog), 440 nucleotides long. RefSeq lists it as uncharacterized. NCBI's taxonomy places the organism in Eukaryota, Metazoa, Chordata, Amphibia, Anura, Pipidae. The record is from RefSeq and is a predicted model, not a curated record. The transcript has 4 exons.